This 484-nucleotide ribosomal RNA is filed under the name uncultured bacterium. RNAcentral describes it as "bacterial SSU rRNA". It matches the Rfam family "Bacterial small subunit ribosomal RNA", at positions 32 to 524 of the family's 1533-position model. The record is from RNAcentral.
GACGAAACGCUGGCGGCGUGCCUAACACAUGCAAGUCGAACGGAGUUGAGUGCUUCGGUAUUCAACUUAGUGGCAAACGGGUGAGUAACGCGUGAGGAACCUGCCUUCAGUGGGGGACAACAGUUGGAAACGACUGCUAAUACCGCAUGAUACUUUUUGGGGGCAUCCCUGAAAAGUCAAAGAUUUAUUGCUGAAAGAUGGCCUCGCGUCUGAUUAGCUAGUUGGCGGGGUAACGGCCCACCAAAGGCGACGAUCAGUAGCCGGUCUGAGAGGAUGAACGGCCACAUUGGGACUGAGAUACGGCCCAGACUCCUACGGGAGGCAGCAGUGGGGAAUAUUGGGCAAUGGGGGAAACCCUGACCCAGCAACGCCGCGUGAAAGGAAGAAAGGCCCUCGGGUUGUAAACUUCUUUUACCAGGGCGAAGGAUGUGACGGUACCUGGAGAAAAAGCAACGGCUAACUACGUGCCAGCAGCCGCAGUAAC